UGCUGGAGGUAUCAGAAGUGCGAAUGCUGACAUAAGUAACGAUAAAGCGGGUGAAAAGCCCGCUCGCCGGAAGACCAAGGGUUCCUGUCCAACGUUAAUCGGGGCAGGGUGAGUCGACCCCUAAGGCGAGGCCGAAAGGCGUAGUCGAUGGGAAACGGGUUAAUAUUCCCGUACUUGGUGUUACUGCGAAGGGGGGACGGAGAAGGCUAUGUUGGCCGGGCGACGGUUGUCCCGGUUUAAGCGUGUAGGUGUGUGUUCCAGGUAAAUCCGGUUCACUUUAACACUGAGGCGUGACGACGAGGCACUACGGUGCUGAAGCAACAAAUGCCCUGCUUCCAGGAAAAGCCUCUAAGCAUCAGGUAACAUCAAAUCGUACCCCAAACCGACACAGGUGGUCAGGUAGAGAAUACCAAGGCGCUUGAGAGAACUCGGGUGAAGGAACUAGGCAAAAUGGUGCCGUAACUUCGGGAGAAGGCACGCUGACACGUAGGUGAAGUGAUUUACUCAUGGAGCUGAAGUCAGUCGAAGAUACCAGCUGGCUGCAACUGUUUAUUAAAAACACAGCACUGUGCAAACACGAAAGUGGACGUAUACGGUGUGACGCCUGCCCGGUGCCGGAAGGUUAAUUGAUGGGGUCAGCGCAAGCGAAGCUCCUGAUCGAAGCCCCGGUAAACGGCGGCCGUAACUAUAACGGUCCUAAGGUAGCGAAAUUCCUUGUCGGGUAAGUUCCGACCUGCACGAAUGGCGUAAUGAUGGCCAGGCUGUCUCCACCCGAGACUCAGUGAAAUUGAACUCGCUGUGAAGAUGCAGUGUACCCGCGGCAAGACGGAAAGACCCCGUGAACCUUUACUAUAGCUUGACACUGAACAUUGAGCCUUGAUGUGUAGGAUAGGUGGGAGGCUUUGAAGUGUGGACGCCAGUCUGCAUGGAGCCGACCUUGAAAUACCACCCUUUAAUGUUUGAUGUUCUAACGUGGACCCGUAAUCCGGGUUGCGGACAGUGUCUGGUGGGUAGUUUGACUGGGGCGGUCUCCUCCUAAAGAGUAACGGAGGAGCACGAAGGUUGGCUAAUCCUGGUCGGACAUCAGGAGGUUAGUGCAAUGGCAUAAGCCAGCUUGACUGCGAGCGUGACGGCGCGAGCAGGUGCGAAAGCAGGUCAUAGUGAUCCGGUGGUUCUGAAUGGAAGGGCCAUCGCUCAACGGAUAAAAGGUACUCCGGGGAUAACAGGCUGAUACCGCCCAAGAGUUCAUAUCGACGGCGGUGUUUGGCACCUCGAUGUCGGCUCAUCACAUCCUGGGGCUGAAGUAGGUCCCAAGGGUAUGGCUGUUCGCCAUUUAAAGUGGUACGCGAGCUGGGUUUAGAACGUCGUGAGACAGUUCGGUCCCUAUCUGCCGUGGGCGCUGGAGAACUGAGGGGGGCUGCUCCUAGUACGAGAGGACCGGAGUGGACGCAUCACUGGUGUUCGGGUUGUCAUGCCAAUGGCACUGCCCGGUAGCUAAAUGCGGAAGAGAUAAGUGCUGAAAGCAUCUAAGCACGAAACUUGCCCCGAGAUGAGUUCUCCCUGAGACUUAGAGUCUCCUGAAGGAACGUUGAAGACGACGACGUUGAUAGGCCGGGUGU
Molecule: ribosomal RNA, 1619 nt
Filed under: Salmonella enterica
Lineage: Bacteria; Pseudomonadati; Pseudomonadota; Gammaproteobacteria; Enterobacterales; Enterobacteriaceae
Description: bacterial LSU rRNA
Rfam family: Bacterial large subunit ribosomal RNA
Source: RNAcentral